GAUGAACGCUGGCGGCGUGCCUAAUACAUGCAAGGCGAGCGAACAGAUGAGGAGCUUGCUCCUCUGACGUUAGCGGCGGACGGGUGAGUAACACGUGGAUAACCUACCUAUAAGACUGGGAUAACUUCGGGAAACCGGAGCUAAUACCGGAUAAUAUAUUGAACCGCAUGGUUCAAUAGUGAAAGACGGUUUUGCUGUCACUUAUAGAUGGAUCCGCGCCGCAUUAGCUAGUUGGUAAGGUAACGGCUUACCAAGGCAACGAUGCGUAGCCGACCUGAGAGGGUGAUCGGCCACACUGGAACUGAGACACGGUCCAGGCUACUAAGGGAGGCAGCAGUAGGGAAUCUUACGCAAUGGGCGAAAGCCUGACGGAGCAACGCCGAGUGAGAGAUGACGGUCUUCGGAUCGUAAAACUCUGUUAUUAGGGAAGAACAACUGUGUAAGUAACUAUGCCCGUCUUGACGGUAACUAAUCAGAAAGCCACGGCUAACUACGUG
Molecule: ribosomal RNA, 497 nt
Filed under: uncultured bacterium
Lineage: Bacteria
Description: partial 16S ribosomal RNA
Rfam family: Bacterial small subunit ribosomal RNA
Source: RNAcentral